Tursiops truncatus (common bottlenose dolphin) is the source of this 137-nucleotide non-coding RNA. Lineage: Eukaryota; Metazoa; Chordata; Mammalia; Artiodactyla; Delphinidae. The record is from Rfam.
CAUCCUGCUCCACCUGGGAUUUAGGUGCCUUUAAUUUGACAAAAGAAGAAUACGUAUCCAUUCAGUACUCCAGAGGGACUUGAAAACUGUUCUUCCCUGAACUAACGCUGGACUAUCAUGGGAUGUGAAGAAUCAAG